GACAAUGUGGUAUAGUGGUUUUAUUGCUGGACUAAAACUCUGGAGACCAGGGUUCAAAUCCUGGCUUGGUAA
Molecule: non-coding RNA, 72 nt
Organism: Phrynosoma platyrhinos (Desert horned lizard)
Lineage: Eukaryota; Metazoa; Chordata; Lepidosauria; Squamata; Phrynosomatidae
Source: the annotation of a GenBank genome assembly